Molecule: ribosomal RNA, 393 nt
Filed under: uncultured bacterium
Lineage: Bacteria
Description: partial 16S ribosomal RNA
Rfam family: Bacterial small subunit ribosomal RNA
Source: RNAcentral
AUACGGAGGAUCCGAGCGUUAUCCGGAUUUAUUGGGUUUAAAGGGUGCGCAGGCGGCCAUUUAAGUCAGCGGUUAAAUCGUGGGGCUCAACCCCAUUCUGCCGUUGAUACUGGGUGGCUUGAUUGCGGUCGAGGUUGGCGGAAUUCGUUGUGUAGCGGUGAAAUGCAUAGAUAUGACGAAGAACACCGAUUGCGUAGGCAGCUGACCAGAUCGCAAAUGACGCUCAUGCACGAAAGUGCGGGGAUCGAACAGGAUUAGAUACCCUGGUAGUCCGCACAGUAAACGAUGAAUACUUGUUUUCGGCGAUAUAAUGUCGGAGGCAAAGCGAAAGCGAUAAGUAUUCCACCUGGGGAGUACGCCGGCAACGGUGAAACUCAAAUGAAUUGACGGGGG